AUUUCCUCCACCAAACAGGAUCGUUAGAGUAAAGCUGCAUUUAUGGGAAAAUACAAAUGUUUUCUUUUUGCCAUUGGAAAGCCGGUUGUAAAUUAUUGGGAUGAUUUUCCUUAAAUGCCAAUAUUUGAUGCUAAGUGAUUUCUUAACCCGGUCUCCAUCGCUUGGGGAAGCGUGAGCCACAUAAGGAAACAUUUGUUCCUGCUGUCCUUGAAUGGAGUGCUUGUGCCGGAGGCAGUCAAAGAGAUACAAGAGGAGCGCACAUCCAAACAGUUUGAACACAAGCGCUCUGCUGUGAACCCCCCCUCUCUGUCCGAGUUCUGAAUGUCCUCCAGUCUUGUGAUCUCACGAUCGCGAGCGGCCCGAUGAAAUGACUGACGCCAUUGUCCUCGCCGCCGCAUCGCCGGACGCCGGCGGAGUCACGCAAUGCCGCGUGCAAAAAAAACAAAAAAACAUCGGCAACUUUUCAACCCCCGGCACACAAGACAUCAAGUACCAACAUUGACAGAAUCGCGUGCGGUUCAGGUACUCUGGGAGCGUACUGGAGUGGUGCCAGAUGCAGAGGCCUGGAAAAACUGGAGUGGAGCUUGCCCACUCUCCAAAGUCUCCAGUCCUUGCUUUGAGGCUUUGAAGGAAGCUCUGAUCCUCGCAAUACUGUAGGCAGCCUGGAGGUGUAGGAACAUGAAAGGGAAGUAAGCAAAGACAAGAGAGUCAUUCAUUCUUGGGAAGGUGAUUUCAUGCGCCAACAUCCUCAUGUGUUUGCGCGCCGCCACGGAUGAUCAUCAUUACUCACUCGCAGCGCUCACACGCAAGCCGCCUUCGUGCUGACACUUGACGAUUGACAACAAAUCUACUGACACCGUUAAUAAAACAAUGUCACACUUGGGGCUACUACAA
Long non-coding RNA from Syngnathus typhle (broad-nosed pipefish), 894 nucleotides. RefSeq lists it as uncharacterized. NCBI's taxonomy places the organism in Eukaryota, Metazoa, Chordata, Actinopteri, Syngnathiformes, Syngnathidae. The record is from RefSeq and is a predicted model, not a curated record. The transcript is spliced from 3 exons.